This 427-nucleotide ribosomal RNA is filed under the name uncultured bacterium. Its description in RNAcentral is "partial 16S ribosomal RNA". It matches the Rfam family "Bacterial small subunit ribosomal RNA", at positions 354 to 796 of the family's 1533-position model. The record is from RNAcentral.
GUGGGGAAUAUUGCACAAUGGGGGAAACCCUGAUGCAGCGACGCCGCGUGAGCGAAGAAGUAUUUCGGUAUGUAAAGUUCUAUCAGCAGGGAAGAAGAAAUGACGGUACCUGACUAAGAAGCACCGGCUAAAUACGUGCCAGCAGCCGCGGUAAUACGUAUGGUGCAAGCGUUAUCCGGAUUUACUGGGUGUAAAGGGAGCGCAGGCGGAAGGCUAAGUCUGAUGUGAAAGCCCGGGGCUCAACCCCGGUACUGCAUUGGAAACUGGUCAUCUAGAGUGUCGGAGGGGUAAGUGGAAUUCCUAGUGUAGCGGUGAAAUGCGUAGAUAUUAGGAGGAACACCAGUGGCGAAGGCGGCUUACUGGACGAUAACUGACGCUGAGGCUCGAAAGCGUGGGGAGCAAACAGGAUUAGAAACCCGUGUAGUCC